RNAcentral lists this ribosomal RNA (478 nucleotides) under uncultured bacterium. RNAcentral describes it as "partial 16S ribosomal RNA". It matches the Rfam family "Bacterial small subunit ribosomal RNA", at positions 29 to 523 of the family's 1533-position model. The record is from RNAcentral.
AACGAACGCUGGCGGCAGGCCUAACACAUGCAAGUCGAGCGAGGAAAGCCUUCGGGUAAGUACUAGUGGCGCACGGGUGAGUAACACGUGGGUAAUCUUCCUCAGAGCGUGGGAUAACUAGUCGAAAGAUUAGCUAAUACCACAUAAGACCACAGGAUCUGCGGAUCCAGAGGUCAAAGGUUUUUCGCUCUGAGAUGAGCCCGCGCAGGAUUAGCUAGUUGGUGAGGUAAUGGCUCACCAAGGCAACGAUCUUUAGCUGGUCUGAGAGGAUGAUCAGCCACACUGGAACUGAGACACGGUCCAGACUCCUACGGGAGGCAGCAGUAGGGAAUAUUGCACAAUGGAGGAAACUCUGAUGCAGCGACGCCGCGUGAGUGAUGAAGGACUUCGGUUCGUAAAGCUCUGUCGUAUGGGAAUAAGAAAGUGAAUGUACCAUGCAAGAAAGGAUCGGCUAACUUCGUGCCAGCCGCCGCCGUAA